AGGCAGCGACUGCCGCAGGGAGACGAAGACCAGAGUCCCUGGAGGGCUGGAGGGGCCCGAGAGCCAGACCCGGAAAUGGACAGGGGAGAUGGAGAGACUGAGGAUCUCAGAGGCGCAGGAAGACAGUGACGGAAAAGAUGGAGAUGCAGUGGCUGUCCCGCUGGAUGUUCCUGCAGUCUAAACACUAGGAGAGAUGAGGACCACCACACCUCUACUUCGGGGAGGGAAAAGCAACCUUGACUAUAUUCUUCUUCCUCCAGCUCUCUCUGCAGAGCUUCUGACAGAGGCUAGCAGUUGGGGUGAGCUUCCCUUUCUUUUUCUGUUGGUCAUCUCUUUGCAACUUGGGUCUCUGUGGAUCCAGCUGACUGCUGAUUUGUGCCACUCCUGGGACAUGAUGCCUUUUGGAAGCUGACUAAGGCUGCAACACCAAGGCCUUUGCAGUCGUGGCGCAGCUGCAGCUGAGCAGAGCAAGAAUGGCAGAAAGACCCACCUGAAUCCAAGAUACCCAGCAAACCUAAUCACCACCUGAGCUGCCUCGCCGUGUCCUCUCUGCUGGCUCCUUGUUCUCCUCUCAGGAGUUAUUUCCCCUGCAUGCUGUUAUUACCAUUUAAAAUACCACGUAACUACCCCAGAAUUACUAAUGAUCACUCCAACUGUAUUCUGAGACACAUCUACAGAGCCUCCUGCCCAACACUUCCCAUCAUCAAAAGCUCUCCAACUCUGGGUCAGGGUGAAAAAACCCAUAGAAACAACAUUACUUGUGGCAUUUUAAAUGAGUUCAGGAUGCCGCCGACACCAGGGUCAUGUUACUUCUGGUAUUGUGGUUAAAUGAUCAAUAAAUGGCAGCCCAGGAAUUCCUGUUGUGGCUCAGUGGGUUAAGGAUCUAGCGUUGCUGCAAGCUGUGACGUAGGUCACAGUUGCAGCUCACAUCUGGUGUGGCUGUGGCAUAGGCUGCAGCUGCAGCUCCAACUUGACCCCUGGCCUGGGAACUUCCAUAUGCUGCAGGUGCAGCUGUAAAAAGAAAAAGAGAAAAAAGGCAGCCCAACAGUUCUCAGCUUCCUUAUGUCCCAUUUCAGGGUCCAUUCUUUAUGUUUUCCCUUGUGAUUCCUCUUCUAAACUCACUCCUUCCUUUAGAGCCCACUAGUGCUGAAAUUUCCACUGCCAAAAUGAGAAAAGGAAAAUGGGCUUUUCAUGGAAUUGAUUUAAUGAAAUUUAAGAAAACUGUCCUUUGGUUUCAGGAUUAUGUUCUUCCUAUUUUCUGGUUGUAAAAUAUCUUUUCUUCCAUGAAAUGGUGGUAUCCGUGUACUGCCAUUUAUCAGUCAGGGUUUAAUUACAAGUAUAGCAAUCGCUCUAGCUAUUUGAAGCAGAAAAUCAUUUAAUACCGGAAUUCAGGACUUCAAAAAUCAUUGGAGGGGCUGGGGGAACAACAAUAGGCUGGGCUUCUGGGAGUGCCUCCCAGAAUUGGCCUGCCAAGAGCUCUGCCAUCUCUGCCAUGAUCAGGAAUCUGGGGAGUCGGGAAGUCUCUGGCCCCAAGCUGACGGCUCUAGAAUCGCAUCACCCACAGCAGUGGUUCAUGUGAUCCACAUCAGCAAAAGGGAUGCUCUGUGUCUAGCCCUUGAGCCUGGGCCUGGGAUCUCUUCUACCAGCACUCCGGGAGAACCAAACGUCUUUGUCUCUGGGCUAGCCAGGAGAAAUAGUGGCAGCAGCAAAAUCACACAGUUGGCCACGGUCUGCCUUCCCCAUCUCACCCCAGUGCACCUGCCAGGCAGAGGACAGGUCAUGUGCGCACCUUAAGGCCUGCUGCGUGGGGUGGGGCUGCUUGAACCAAUAUGCGAGUCUGUAGCUCAAUGUUCACACUUUACUCACAUGUGAGAUCCAAACUCCCCAGUGAGCAGAGGUGGGAGUGGGGUGGGUGUGGGGUCAACCCUCCAGAGCAGCCCCAUCAAGGACAGAAAUUAAACCACUUAGGUUCAUACCAAUCAACAAUGGGAAGGGGUGUUUCUCCUCAUUAGUCAUCAAGAGGAUAGAAAUUUAAAUCACAAUUAACAUCACCGGAGUUCCCAUCGUGGCGCAUUGGAAAUGAAUCCAACUAGGAACUAUGAGGUUGUGAGUUUGAUCCCUGGUCUUGCUCAGUGGGUUAAGGAUCCAUCGUUGCCCUGAGCUGUGGUGUAGGUCGAAGACACGGCUCGGAUCUGGCAUUGCUGUGGCUCUGGCAUAGGCCAGCAGUUGUAGUUCCAAUGACACCUCUAGCCUGGGAGCAUCCACAUGCCGUGGGGGCGGCCCUAAAAAGACAAAAAAACCAAAAAAAAAAAAAAAAUCACCAUUACACACCCCUAGAAUGACUAAAAAGAAAAAGACAACACCAAGUGAGGACAAGGAUGCAGAUGGAGAAGAGGUCCUGUUUGCUGCUAGCAGGAGUGCUUUAUGUUAGCACAGACACUUGGAUAACUCUGUGGUGGUAGCUACUGAUGCUGGAAGUACAGGUGACCUCGACACCAGUAAUUACAGCCUCAAUCCAUAUCAAAUAAAAACAGGCAUGAG
RNAcentral lists this long non-coding RNA (2541 nucleotides) under Sus scrofa (pig). Its description in RNAcentral is "lncRNA (ENSSSCG00040068668.1)". The record is from RNAcentral. Lineage: Eukaryota; Metazoa; Chordata; Mammalia; Artiodactyla; Suidae.